RNAcentral lists this ribosomal RNA (368 nucleotides) under uncultured organism. RNAcentral describes it as "bacterial SSU rRNA". It matches the Rfam family "Bacterial small subunit ribosomal RNA", at positions 526 to 896 of the family's 1533-position model. The record is from RNAcentral.
CGGAGGGUGCAAGCGUUAUCCGGAUUCACUGGGUUUAAAGGGUGCGUAGGAGGGCAGGUAAGUCAGUGGUGAAAUCUCCAAGCUUAACUUGGAAACUGCCGUUGAUACUAUCUGUCUUGAAUAUUGUGGAGGUGAGCGGAAUAUGUCAUGUAGCGGUGAAAUGCUUAGAUAUGACAUAGAACACCAAUUGCGAAGGCAGCUCACUACACAAUCAUUGACUCUGAGGCACGAAAGCGUGGGGAUCAAACAGGAUUAGAUACCCUGGUAGUCCACGCCCUAAACUAUGGAUACUUGACAUACGCGAUAUACAGUGUGUGUCUGAGCGAAAGCAUUAAGUAUCCCACCUGGGAAGUACGACCGCAAGGUUG